RNAcentral lists this non-coding RNA (23 nucleotides) under Arabidopsis thaliana (thale cress). The record is from RNAcentral. Lineage: Eukaryota; Viridiplantae; Streptophyta; Magnoliopsida; Brassicales; Brassicaceae.
UCACGAUUAGAUUUUUGCAGCAU